UACGUAGGGUGCAAGCGUUGUCCGGAAUUAUUGGGCGUAAAGAGCUCGUAGGCGGUCUGUCGCGUCGGCUGUGAAAACCCGGAGCUCAACUCCGGGCCUGCAGUCGAUACGGGCAGACUGGAGUUCGGCAGGGGAGACUGGAAUUCCUGGUGUAGCGGUGAAAUGCGCAGAUAUCAGGAGGAACACCGGUGGCGAAGGCGGGUCUCGU
This 208-nucleotide ribosomal RNA is filed under the name uncultured bacterium. RNAcentral describes it as "partial 16S ribosomal RNA". It matches the Rfam family "Bacterial small subunit ribosomal RNA", at positions 524 to 731 of the family's 1533-position model. The record is from RNAcentral.